RNAcentral lists this long non-coding RNA (5328 nucleotides) under Homo sapiens (human). RNAcentral describes it as "HSALNT0401434". Lineage: Eukaryota; Metazoa; Chordata; Mammalia; Primates; Hominidae. The record is from RNAcentral.
AAAUGAUGGAUUUCCAUCUUACAAUUGAAUGCAAGUAGGUUGCAAGGUUGAUGGAAAGUAGAAAAGUUUCCUGACUUGCGUGAACAGAAAAGAAACAUCAAUUUGAAAGGAAACCAUUUAUUUAUUUACUUCCUCUACAGUUUUCCUGACUGCUACAUUUCAUAAGAAGGGAUUGUUUAUGAGGGUCAAGGAGCUGGAGGCCUGGGGAGGAGCUGGUGUUUCUGUUCAAGUUUGAGGGUCCUGGAGCUGGAGCCCAGGGGAGGAGCCAGUGCUGCCACUGAUGUCUUAGGGUCGUGGAGCUGAAGAUCCCAGAGGAGCCGGUGCUGCUAUUCUAGCUUGAGUUUCGUGGAGCUGGAGACCCAGGGAGAAGAUGGUGCUGCUGUUCUAAUUUAAGGAUCGUGAAACAGAAGACCCAGAAAGGAGCUGGUGCUGCCGCUGCUCAGAUCUGAGGGUGUUGGAGCUGGAGCCUGGGGGUGGAGCCAUUGCUGCCAUUGAAGUGUGAGAGUCAUUGAGCUGGAAGUCCAGGAAGCAGCUGGUGCUGCUGUUCUAGUUUGAGGGUUGUGGAGUGCAGACCCAGGCAGGAGCAACAUUGCUGUAGUUCGAGGGUCAGAAAGCUGGCGACCCAGGGAGGAGAGGUCUUGUUCUAGUUUGAUUUUCGUGGAGCUGCAGACCCAGGCAGGAGCAAUGUUGCUGUAGUUCGAGGGUCCGGUAGCUGGCAACCCGGGGAGGAGAAGUCUUGUUCGAGUUUGAGGGUCGUGGAGCUGCCGACCCAGGGAGGAGCAAUUUGGUUGUAAUUUGAGGGUCCAGAAGCUGGAGACCCAGGGAGGAGAGAGAUCUUGUUCUGGUCUGAGGGUUGUGGAGCCACAGACCCAGGGAGGAGCAAUUUUGUUGUAAUUUGAGGGUCAGGAAGCUGGCGACCCAGGGAGGAGAGGUCUUGUUCUAGUUUGAGGGUCGUGGAGCUGCCGACCCAGGGAGGAGCAAUUUUGUUGUAAUUCGAGGAUCAGGAAGCUGGCGACCCAGUGGAGGAGAGGUCUUGUUCUGGUCUGAGGGUCAUGGAGCUGCAGACCCAGGGAGGAGCAAUGUUGUUGUAAUUCGAGGGUGUGGUAGCUGGCAACCUGGGGAGGAGAAGUCUUGUUCGAGUUUGAGGCUCGUGGAGCUGCCGACCAGGGAGGAGCAAUUUUGUUGCAGUUCGAGGGUCAGGAAGCUGGCGACCCAGGGAGGAGAGGUCUUGUUCUGGUCUGAGGGUCAUGGAGCUACAUACCCAGGGAGGAGCAAUGUUGUUGUAAUUCGAGGGUGUGGUAGCUGGCAACCUGGGGAGGAGAAGUCUUCUUCGAGUUUGAGGCUCGUGGAGUUGCCGACCAGGGACGAGCAAUUUUGUUGUAGUUCGUGGGUCAGGAAUCUGGCGACCCAGGGAGGAGAGGUCUUGUUUUAGUUUGAGGGUUGUGGAACUGCAGACCCAGGCAGGAGCAAUGUUGUUGUAAUUCAAGGGUCCGGAAGCUGGAGACCCCGGGAGGAGAGGUCUUGUUCUAAUUUGAGGGUCGUAGAGCUGCGGAACCAGGGAGGAGCAAUGUUGUUGUAAUUGGAGGGUCCGAAAGCUGGCGACCCAGGGAGGAGAGGUCUUGUUCUGGUGUGAGGGUCGUGGAGCUGCAGACCCAGGGAGGAGCAAUUUUGUUGUAAUUCAAGGGUCCAGUAGCUGGCAACCCAGGGAAGAGAAGUGUUGUUGGAGUUUGAGGGUCGUGGAGCUGCCGACCCAGGGAGGAGCAAUUUGGUUGUAAUUCGAGGGUCAGGAAGCUGGCGACCCAGGGGAGGAGAGGUCUUCUUCUGGUCUGAGGGUCGUGGAGCUGCAGACCCAGGGAGGAGCAAUGUUGUUGUAAUUCGAGGGUCUGGUAGCUGGCAACCUGGGGAGGAGAAGUCUUGUUCGAGUUUUAGGCUGGUGGAGCUGCUGAUCAGGGAGGAGCAAUUUUGUUGUAGUUCGAGGGUCAGGAAGCUGGUGACCCAGGGAGGAGAGGUCUUGUUUUAGUUUGAGGUUGUUGGAGGUGCAGACCCAGGGAGGAGCAAUAUUGUUGUAAUUCGAGGGUCUGGAAGCUGGAGACCCAGGGAGGAGAGGUCUUGUUCUAGUUUGAGGGUCGUGGAGCUGCCGAACCAGGGAGGAGCAAUGCUGUUGUAAUUGGAGGGUCCGGAAGCUGGCGACCCAGGGAGGAGAGGUCUUGUUCUAGUUUGAGGGUCGUGGAGCUGCCGAACCAGAGAGGCGCAAUUUGGUUGUAAUUGGAGGGUCCGGAAGCUGGUGACCCAGGGAGGAGAUGUCUUGUUCUGGUCUGAGGGUCGUGGAGCUACAUAUCCAGGGAGGAGCAAUGUUGUUGUAAUUCGAGGGUGUGGUAGCUGGCAACCUGGGGAGGAGAAGUCUUGUUCGAGUUUGUGGCUCGUGGAGCUGCCGACCAGGGAGGAGCAAUUUUGUUGUAGUUCGUGGGUCAGGAAUCUGGCGACCCAGGGAGGAGAGGUCUUGUUUUAGUUUGAGGGUUGUGGAACUGCAGACCCAGGCAGGAGCAAUGUUGUUGUAAUUCAAGGGUCCGGAAGCUGGUGACCCAGGGAGGAGAGGUCUUGUUCUAGUUUGAGGGUCGUGGAGCUGCCGACCCAGGGAGGAGCAAUUUGGUUGUAAUUGGAGAGUCCGGAAGCUGGAGACCCAGGGAGGAGAGGUCUUGUUCUAGUUUGAGGGUCGUAGAGCUGCAGACCCAGGGAGGAGCAAUUCUGUUGUAAUUCGAGGGUCUGGAAGCUGGAGACCGAGGGAGGAGAGGUCUUGUUGUAGUUUGAGGGUCGUGGAGCUGCCGAACCAGGGAGGAGCAAUGUUGUUGUAAUUGGAGGGUCCGAAAGCUGGCGACCCAGGGAGGAGAGGUCUUGUUCUGGUGUGAGGGUCGUGGAGCUGCAGACCCAGGGAGGAGCAAUUUUGUUGUAAUUCAAGGGUCCGGUAGCUGGCAACCCAGGGAAGAGAAGUGUUGUUGGAGUUUGAGGGUCGUGGAGCUGCCGACCCAGGGAGGAGCAAUUUGGUUGUAAUUCGAGGGUCAGGAAGCUGGCGACCCAGGUGAGGAGAGGUCUUCUUCUGGUCUGAGGGUCGUGGAGCUGCAGACCCAGGGAGGAGCAAUGUUGUUGUAAUUCGAGGGUCUGGUAGCUGGCAACCUGGGGAGGAGAAGUCUUGUUCGAGUUUGAGGCUGGUGGAGCUGCUGAUCAGGGAGGAGCAAUUUUUUUGUAGUUCGAGGGUCAGGAAGCUGGUGACCCAGGGAGGAGAGGUCUUGUUUUAGUUUGAGGGUGGUGGAGCUGCAGACCCAGGGAGGAGCAAUUUGGUUGUAAUUCGAGGGUCUGGAAGCUGGAGACCCAGGGAGGAGAGGUCUUGUUCUGGUUUGAGGGUCAUGGAGCUGCCGAACCAGGGAGGAGCAAUUUGGUUGUAAUUGGAGGGUCCGGAAGCUGGUGACCCAGGGAGGAGAGGUCUUGUUUUAGUUUGAGGGUUGCGGAACUGCAGACCCAGGCAGGAGCUAUGUUGUUGUAAUUCAAGGGUCCGGAAGCUGGCGACCCAGGGAGGAGAGGUCUUGUUCUAGUUUGAGGGUCGUAGAGCUGCCGACCCAUGGAGGAGCAAUUUGGUUGUAAUUCGAGGGUCAGGAAGCUGGCGACGCAGGGAGGAGAGGUCUUGUUCUGGUAUGAGGGUCGUGGAGCUGCAGACCCAGGGAGGAGCAAUUUUGUUGUAAUUCAAGGGUCCGGUAGCUGGCAACCCGGGUAGGAGAAGUCUUGUUCGAGUUUGAGGGUCGUGGAGCUGCCGAACCAGGGAGGCGCAAUUUGGUUGUAAUUGGAGGGUCCGGAAGCUGGUGACCCAGGGAGGAGAUGUCUUCUUCUGGUCUGAUGGUCGUGGAGCUACAUACCCAGGGAGGAGCAAUGUUGUUGUAAUUCGAGGGUGUGGUAGCUGGCAACCUGGGGAGGAGAAGUCUUGUUGGAGUCUGAGGCUCGUGGAGCUGCCGACCAGGGAGGAGCAAUUUUGUUGUAGUUCGUGGGUCAGGAAUCUGGCGACCCAGGGAGGAGAGGUCUUGUUUUAGUUUGAGGGUUGUGGAACUGCAGACCCAGGCAGGAGCAAUGUUGUUGUAAUUCAAAGGUCCGGAAGCUGGAGACACAGGGAGGAGAGGUCUUGUUCUAGUUUGAGGGUCGUAGAGCUGCAGACCCAGGGAGGAGCAAUUCUGUUGUAAUCCGAGGGUCUGGAAGCUGGAGACCCAGGGAGGAGAGGUCUUGUUGUAGUUUGAGGGUCGUGGAGCUGCCGAACCAGGGAGGAGCAAUGUUGUUGUAAUUGGAGGGUCCGAAAUCUGGCGACCCAGGGAGGAGAGGUCUUGUUCUGGUGUGAGGGUCAUGGAGCUGCAGACCCAGGGAGGAGCAAUUUUGUUGUAAUUCAAGGGUCCGGUAGCUGGCAACCCAGGGAAGAGAAGUGUUGUUGGAGUUUGAGGGUCGUGGAGCUGCCGACCCAGAGAGGAGCAAUUUGGUUGUAAUUCGAGGGUCAGGAAGCUGGCGACCAAGGGGAGGAGAGGUCUUCUUCUGGUCUGAGGGUCGUGGAGCUGCAGACCCAGGGAGGAGCAAUGUUGUUGUAAUUCGAGGGUCUGGUAGCUGGCAACCUGGGGAGGAGAAGUCUUGUUCGAGUUUGAGGCUGGUGGAGCUGCUGAUCAGGGAGGAGCAAUUUUGUUGUAGUUCGAGGGUCAGGAAGCUGGUGACCCAGGAAGGAGAGGUCUUGUUUUAGUUUGAGGGUGGUGGAGCUGCAGACCCAGGGAGGAGCAAUUUGGUUGUAAUUCGAGGGUCUGGAAGCUGGAGACCCAGGGAGGAGAGGUCUUGUUCUAGUUUGAGGGUCGUGGAGCUGCCGAACCAGGGAGGAGCAAUGCUGUUGUAAUUCGAGGGUCCGGAAGCUGGCGACCCAGGGAGGAGAGGUCUUGUUCUGGUGUGAGGGUCGUGGAGCUGCAGACCCAGGGAGGAGCAAUUUUGUUGUAAUUCAAGGGUCCGGUAGCUGGCAACCCAGGGAAGAGAAGUGUUGUUGGAGUUUGAGGGUCGUGGAGCUGCCGACCCAGGGAGGAGCAAUUUGGUUGUAAUUUGAGGGUCCGGAAGCUGGAGACCCAGGGAGGAGAGAGGUCUUGUUCUCGUCUGAGGGUCGUGGAGCUGCCGACCCAGGGAGGAGCAAUUUGGUUGUAAUUCGAGGGUCAGGAAGCUGGCGACCCAGGGAGGAGAGGUCUUGUUCUGGUUUGAGGGUCAUGGAGGUGCUGACCCAGGGAGGAGCUGGUGCUGCUUUUUAAAUUUGAGGGUCGUGGAGCUGGG